GAGAUCAGAGGAAUGCUUCUAGAAACUGAAAAACAUAAAGAUUAAUAGCAAACCACCAGAAGUUAAUGAAGAGGCAUGAAGAGAUUCUUUCUCACAGAGAAGGAACCAACUCCGCUGACCCCUCCAUCUUGGACUUCUAGCCUCCAAAAUUGUGAUACACCAUUCCUCUCUUCUGAGCUCCUCUCUGGCCAACUUUAACUCAUCGAUUGGUUCUGCCACCCGCAACGUUGGCUCCAAAGGCCUGUAGCGUUGUUCUAAUACUUCGGUGAUAUCUCGGAAGGGCCCCUGACAAGACAGGAUGAGGAACAUAUUUUAUAUGGAAGAUUUUUUUGAGGUUAUCACUAACAAGACACAGCUGGAGUUACUGCAAGCACUGAGUGAAGACUGUGGGGCUAAUAAAAAGAAAUGAUUCACGCCUCA
Long non-coding RNA from Homo sapiens (human), 420 nucleotides. Ensembl annotates it as SPATA17 antisense RNA 1. Its record names the gene SPATA17-AS1. Lineage: Eukaryota; Metazoa; Chordata; Mammalia; Primates; Hominidae. The record is from Ensembl.